This 668-nucleotide unclassified non-coding RNA is filed under the name uncultured marine bacterium. RNAcentral's name for it is "partial contains 16S ribosomal RNA and 16S-23S ribosomal RNA intergenic spacer". The stretch from base 1 to 121 matches the Rfam family "Bacterial small subunit ribosomal RNA", at positions 1414 to 1533 of the family's 1533-position model. The record is from RNAcentral.
GCAGUACCCGAAGAUGGUAUCCUAACCGCAAGGAGGGAGCUGUUUAAGGUAAGGCAGGUAACUGGGACUAAGNUCGUAACAAGGUAGCCGUACCGGAAGGUGCGGCUGGAUCACCUCCUUUCAGGGAGUAAUCUGCUUUAUAAUACUAUAAAGUAAGAUACGGUCGAACAGGUUUAAUUGAUAAGGUUCUACAUAACUUUUUAGAGUUUAUAUAUGGGGCUUAUAGCUCAGCUGGUUAGAGCGCAUCUCUGAUAAGGAUGAGGUCCGUGGUUCGAGUCCACGUAGGCCCACCAUUUAAUUUGGGGCUGUAGCUCAGCUGGGAGAGCAAUUCCCUUGCACGGAAUAGGUCGCAGGUUCGAUCCCUGUCAGCUCCACAAGAAUUUAAAUUUUAGAUAUUUGACAAUUUGGAAAUUAACGCGGGUAAUAAAGUAAUAAUUUUAUAUUACUACUUUAUUAUUUAGAAAAUAUCACAUCAUUGUAUGUUGUGAUAUCUUCAAUUAUAUCGUUUAAAUAAUUUUUUAUUUAAACGAUGUUGAAAUCAUUAAAACACUCAAGUCAUAUUGAACUUGUAAAAGCUACUAAGAGCACACGGAGGAWNGCCUUGGGUACAUGGAGGCGAUGAAGGACGUGGUAAGCUGCGAUAAGCUUCGGGUAGGUGCACACAACUG